RNAcentral lists this ribosomal RNA (477 nucleotides) under uncultured organism. Its description in RNAcentral is "partial 16S ribosomal RNA". It matches the Rfam family "Bacterial small subunit ribosomal RNA", at positions 330 to 799 of the family's 1533-position model. The record is from RNAcentral.
CGUACACUCCUGCGGGAGGCAGCAGUAGGGAAUCUUCCACAAUGGGUGCAAACCUGAUGGAGCAAUGCCGCGUGAGUGAAGAAGGUCUUCGGAUCGUAAAGCUCUGUUGUUAGAGAAGAACACGUGCUAGGUAACUACUAGCGCCUUGACGGUAUCUAACCAGAAAGUCACGGCUAACUACGUGCCAGCAGCCGCGGUAAUACGUAGGUGACAAGCGUUGUCCGGAUUUAUUGGGCGUAAAGGGAGCGCAGGCGGUCUGUUUAGUCUAAUGUGAAAGCCCACGGCUUAACCGUGGAACGGCAUUGGAAACUGACAGACUUGAAUGUAGAAGAGGAAAAUGGAAUUCCAAGUGUAGCGGUGGAAUGCGUAGAUAUUUGGAGGAACACCAGUGGCGAAGGCGAUUUUCUGGUCUAACAUUGACGCUGAGGCUCGAAAGCGUGGGGAGCGAACAGGAUUAGAUACCCUAGUAGUCCCAUG